This 253-nucleotide ribosomal RNA is filed under the name uncultured bacterium. RNAcentral describes it as "partial 16S ribosomal RNA". It matches the Rfam family "Bacterial small subunit ribosomal RNA", at positions 524 to 776 of the family's 1533-position model. The record is from RNAcentral.
UACGUAGGGGGCAAGCGUUAUCCGGAUUUACUGGGUGUAAAGGGGGCGCAGACGGCGAUGCAAGCCAGAUGUGAAAGCCCGGGGCUCAACCCCGGGACUGCAUUUGGAACUGUGUGGCUAGAGUGUCGGAGAGGCAGGCGGAAUUCCUAGUGUAGCGGUGAAAUGCGUAGAUAUUAGGAGGAACACCAGUGGCGAAGGCGGCCUGCUGGACGAUGACUGACGUUGAGGCUCGAAAGCGUGGGGAGCAAACAGG